This 370-nucleotide long non-coding RNA is filed under the name Oryzias javanicus (javanese ricefish). RNAcentral describes it as "lncRNA (ENSOJAG00000019105.1)". Lineage: Eukaryota; Metazoa; Chordata; Actinopteri; Beloniformes; Adrianichthyidae. The record is from RNAcentral.
UAUUUUGUUGCAGGAAAUAUGGCUGUCCAAAAGUCGAAAGCUGUUAAAAACGGAAAAAUCUACUACUAUCCUGCUACAGGAUUCAUUGAAGAGAGGCUUCGUAAUGUGCGAAAGAAGAUAAGGAGUCAUGGAUUUGAUCAGCAAUCACAUGAAGUCAAUGAACCACAGAGGGUUCAAAUACCAGAAUCGAUGGUGCCGGAAGAGCGGUCACAACAACAAAAGGAGUGGCUGAAACACAACUGCUACCCUCUAACCCAAGUACAGGAGUACAUGGAGGAAACAGCUCUCUACAGAGCGAAUUGGAUUCGAGCAAAUCCCUCCAGAGGCAUUUUUGAGAUUCUGGCUGAGUACCCUCGCCUCACCAGUUCAG